AGAGUUUGAUCCUGGCUCAGAGCGAACGCUGGCGGCAUGCCUAACACAUGCAAGUCGAACGCUAUUUAUAGAGUGGCGCACGGGUGAGUAACGCGUGGGAACCUGCCUUUUUCUGCGGGAUAACGGUUGGAAACGACCGCUAAUACCGCAUACGCCCUACGGGGGAAAGGUCCGCCGGAGAAAGAGGGGCCCGCGUCUGAUUAGCUAGUUGGUGGGGUAACGGCCUACCAAGGCGACGAUCAGUAGCUGGUCUGAGAGGAUGAUCAGCCACACUGGGACUGAGACACGGCCCAGACUCCUACGGGAGGCAGCAGUGGGGAAUAUUGGACAAUGGGGGCAACCCUGAUCCAGCAAUGCCGCGUGUGUGAUGAAGGCCUUAGGGUUGUAAAGCACUUUCACUGGUGAAGAUGAUGACGGUAACCAGAGAAGAAGCCCCGGCUAACUUCGUGCCAGCAGCCGCGGUAAUACGAAGGGGGCGAGCGUUGUUCGGAAUUACUGGGCGUAAAGGGCGCGUAGGCGGUCUUUUAAGUUAGGCGUGAAAUCCCCGGGCUCAACCUGGGAACUGCGCUUAAGACUGGAAGACUAGAAAACGGAAGAGGGUAGUGGAAUUCCCAGUGUAGAGGUGAAAUUCGUAGAUAUUGGGAAGAACACCAGUGGCGAAAGCGGCUACCUGGUCCGAUUUUGACGCUGAGGCGCGAAAGCGUGGGGAGCGAACAGGAUUAGAUACCCUGGUAGUCCACGCCGUAAACGAUGUCUGCUAGAUGUCGGGGGGUUGCCCCUCGGUGUCGCCGCUAACGCAUUAAGCAGACCGCCUGGGAAGUACGGUCGCAAGAUUAAAACUCAAAGGAAUUGACGG
RNAcentral lists this ribosomal RNA (856 nucleotides) under uncultured marine bacterium. RNAcentral describes it as "bacterial SSU rRNA". It matches the Rfam family "Bacterial small subunit ribosomal RNA", at positions 8 to 916 of the family's 1533-position model. The record is from RNAcentral.